UAGGAUAGUCCUCCCUGGAGUUCACCUGA
RNAcentral lists this non-coding RNA (29 nucleotides) under Mus musculus (house mouse). The record is from RNAcentral. Lineage: Eukaryota; Metazoa; Chordata; Mammalia; Rodentia; Muridae.